GAAAUGCGAUACGUAAUGCGAAUUGCAGAAUUCAGUGAAUCAUCAAAUCUUUGAACGCAAAUUGCACUUUCUGGAUAGGCCAGGGAGUAUGCCUCUUUGAGCAUCGUUUCUACCCCAACUCGUUAGCUUUAUGAAAUACUAAAGCGAGCGGAGAAUGCGCUUCUCGCUGGAAACAGUGAGUGGCGUUAAGACUAGCAAGUUCUUUUAACUUUAUUCUAGUGUUCGACCUCUUCGGAGGGCGCCUUUUCCAUACCAGGAAGAUACCACUAGCAACGUAGAUAAAAUUUUUUUAACCACGUUGUUAUGUAAAUCCAAUGGCAUCGAUUGUGGCUAAGACAAUAGGAUCCAAAAGAACUUUUGAAGAAAAUUAAUAUAAUUUUUGAAUUAGAUCUCAAAUGAA
RNAcentral lists this unclassified non-coding RNA (400 nucleotides) under uncultured fungus. Its description in RNAcentral is "sequence contains ITS1". The stretch from base 1 to 106 matches the Rfam family "5.8S ribosomal RNA", at positions 50 to 154 of the family's 154-position model. Lineage: Eukaryota; Fungi. The record is from RNAcentral.